GUCCGGAUAGUGUAGUGGCCUAUCAUGAAAGCCUGUCGAGCUUUCGACCCGGGUCCGAAUCCCGGUCCGGGCGC
RNAcentral lists this transfer RNA (74 nucleotides) under uncultured archaeon. Its description in RNAcentral is "tRNA-Asp(gtc)". It matches the Rfam family "tRNA". From Rfam's summary of the family: Transfer RNA (tRNA) molecules are approximately 80 nucleotides in length. The record is from RNAcentral.